This 1737-nucleotide long non-coding RNA is filed under the name Mus musculus (house mouse). RNAcentral describes it as "predicted gene 12992, transcript variant 2 (Gm12992)". The record is from RNAcentral. Lineage: Eukaryota; Metazoa; Chordata; Mammalia; Rodentia; Muridae.
CUUCAUCUAGAACCAGCCGGUUCUUUCCUGUAGCCACUGUCCUCUUCGGGCAACUCCAUCUCUUAAAGUCCCUGCAGUCUGCCCGCCGCCUGUCCCUGCCAACUGGUCUGCAAACGUCACAGAGCACCGUCCCAAAUGUGCAUCUGCCCCUUGCUGAAAACCCUCUUUGGCUCCCUGGUGCUGUCCGAAUGGUUUCAGAGCCGGUGUGGUUUGAGCAUGCUCCAGACCUUCUCACCUGGCCCGUGUGGCUGAAGCUGCCUAGUGAUUCCUUUCCUGCCAAGAGAUGCUGGAGGGCCGAAGAUGAAUCAAGUCAGCGAAAGUUCCACGGUCAAGUUGGAUGUGUGGUGGAGAGGCUGUGGCUGACUAACCACGCAACGCUGCCAGCUCUGCUCAGUAAAUAUUUUAGGCUUUGAGGACUUUCCAGCCUCGCUCUGCUGCCUCAGGCAAGCUCCAAACAGGCAGGCGUGGCUGGGCCCAGAGUGGACCUGAUGGGACUUGGUAUGGCUUUUACCUUUACCCACAACCAUUUGAAGCUGCUGAAACACUUCUGAGCUCGCAGGCCACCCGGCAGUGGGGAAGCAGGCUCCUUCGGCCAUGGGUUCCGGCUUCCCAACCCCUAAUCUCAGACUACAGACUGUCAAAGUGGGUAGACUAUGCCUUUCCCUCGGCUGUGACAAAAUGCCCACAGACGCAAUUUAGGGCAGGGCUUGUUUUGUUCCCAAUUUAAGGGUGUGGUCUAUCAGGGUCAGAGUGUGAGGCAGCUGGCUAUGCUGUGUCUGUCAGGCAGAAAGCGGUGAGAGAUGAACCUGGGGCUCAGCUCACUUUCCCUGUUUCCUUCAUUCCUAGCCUCUGCCCCCCCCCCAUGACGCCUCCUGACCACAUACUGGUGGAGCACUUCACUUCUCUCUCCAGGAACUUUUCUGAAAACGCCUUCUCACCCCUACCCUCACCCAAAGGUGCAUUUCUGUGCGGUUAUCAAUCUAGGUGACAAGAGCCAGACAUGGUGGCUCACACCUGUAAUCCCAGCUUUCAGAGGGCUGAACCAGGAAGUUGUCAUGGGCUAGAGGUCAUCUGGGCUAGAUAGUGAGUACCAGGGCAGCCUGGGCUAUAUGUGAACCUAUUAAUAAAUAAGUAAGUAAAUAGUUUUGAAAGCCAGGCUUGAUGGUGUCCACCACACCUUAAAUCCAAGAACUCAAGAAGAAAGGCAGGUGGAUCUCUGUGGGUUCCUGGUCAGCCAGGGCCACAUGGUGAGACCCAGUCUCAAAACAAGAAGAAACAGUUCUGGGGCUAGGAGAGGGAGCGCUCCAUCCAUCAGCUGGUCUGCACCUGGCAUAGCUGGUUUGCACCUGGCACAGCUGGUUUGCACCUGUUUUACGGCCUGGCUGUGUUGAGGCUACGGUUACCUACCUCCAACACCCGAGGAGACCCCUAAGUAGCUCAUCUCUGUUCCUAGCUGGAGUCAACCACUGUUGCCCAGCACUGUCUCCUGAACCAAACAACUGCCAUCUGGGGACAUUCAGCUGUGCCCCCUUACAAACAAACAAACAAACAAACAAACAAACAAACCUCCCAGCUGUGCUAUGUUUGUUGAUGGACCUCGUCGCUGCAGGGUAAAGACUUUCCAGGUAUUGCCUGUUGGAGAGGAAUACCCCGCUCCUGUAAGUAGCCCCUUACCUGUGCUCUUUAAUGAAGCUCAAUAAACUCACCGGCUCGGUCAGCUAAAAAAAAAAAAAAAAA